UACGUAGGGGGCAAGCGUUGUCCGGAAUCAUUGGGCGUAAAGAGCGUGUAGGCGGCCCGAUAAGUCCGCUGUGAAAGUCCAGGGCUCAACCCUGGAAUGCCGGUGGAUACUGUCGGGCUCGAAUCCGGAAGAGGUGAGUGGAAUUCCUGGUGUAGCGGUGAAAUGCGCAGAUAUCAGGAGGAACACCAAUGGCGAAGGCAGCUCACUGGGACGGUAUUGACGCUGAGACGCGAAAGCGUGGGGAGCAAACAAG
This 253-nucleotide ribosomal RNA is filed under the name uncultured bacterium. Its description in RNAcentral is "partial 16S ribosomal RNA". It matches the Rfam family "Bacterial small subunit ribosomal RNA", at positions 524 to 776 of the family's 1533-position model. The record is from RNAcentral.